CCUACGGGAGGCAGCAGUGAGGAAUAUUGGUCAAUGGGCGCUAGCCUGAACCAGCCAAGUAGCGUGAAGGAUGACUGCCCUAUGGGUUGUAAACUUCUUUUAUAUGGGAAUAAAGUGCAGUAUGUAUACUGCUUUGCAUGUACCUUAUGAAUAAGGAUCGGCUAACUCCGUGCCAGCAGCCGCGGUAAUACGGAGGAUUCGAGCGUUAUCCGGAUUUAUUGGGUUUAAAGGGAGCGUAGGCGGGUUGUUAAGUCAGUUGUGAAAGUUUGCGGCUCAACCGUAAAAUUGCAGUUGAUACUGGCAUCCUUGAGUACAGUAGAGGUAGGCGGAAUUCGUGGUGUAGCGGUGAAAUGCUUAGAUAUCACGAAGAACUCCGAUUGCGAAGGCAGCCUGCUGGACUGUAACUGACGCUGAUGCUCGAAAGCGUGGGUAGCAAACAGGAUUAGAUACCCUUGUAGUC
RNAcentral lists this ribosomal RNA (460 nucleotides) under uncultured bacterium. Its description in RNAcentral is "partial 16S ribosomal RNA". It matches the Rfam family "Bacterial small subunit ribosomal RNA", at positions 338 to 795 of the family's 1533-position model. The record is from RNAcentral.